Molecule: ribosomal RNA, 468 nt
Filed under: uncultured bacterium
Lineage: Bacteria
Description: partial 16S ribosomal RNA
Rfam family: Bacterial small subunit ribosomal RNA
Source: RNAcentral
GACGAACGCUGGCGGCGUGCUUAACACAUGCAAGUCGAACGGAAAGGCCCUGCUUUUGUGGGGUGCUCGAGUGGCGAACGGGUGAGUAACACGUGAGUAACCUGCCCUUGACUUUGGGAUAACUUCAGGAAACUGGGGCUAAUACCGGAUAGGAGCUCCUGCUGCAUGGUGGGGGUUGGAAAGUUUCGGCGGUUGGGGAUGGACUCGCGGCUUAUCAGCUUGUUGGUGGGGUAGUGGCCUACCAAGGCUUUGACGGGUAGCCGGCCUGAGAGGGUGACCGGCCACAUUGGGACUGAGAUACGGCCCAGACUCCUACGGGAGGCAGCAGUGGGGAAUAUUGCACAAUGGGCGGAAGCCUGAUGCAGCAACGCCGCGUGCGGGAUGACGGCCUUCGGGUUGUAAACCGCUUCCGCCUGUGACGAAGCGUGAGUGACGGUAAUGGGUAAAGAAGCACCGGCUAACUACGUG